RNAcentral lists this ribosomal RNA (503 nucleotides) under uncultured bacterium. RNAcentral describes it as "partial 16S ribosomal RNA". It matches the Rfam family "Bacterial small subunit ribosomal RNA", at positions 28 to 523 of the family's 1533-position model. The record is from RNAcentral.
GAUAGACGCUAGCGGCAGGCUUAACACAUGCAAGUCGAGGGGCAGCAUAGAUUGUAGCAAUACAAUUGGUGGCGACCGGCGCACGGGUGCGUAACGCGUAUGCAACCUACCCGUCACAGGGGGAUAAUCCGGAGAAAUCUGGUCUAAUACCCCAUAACAUAUGGAUCGGCAUCGGUUCAUGUUGAAAUUUUCGGAGGUGACGGAUGGGCAUGCGUGGCAUUAGCUUGUUGGUGAGGUAACGGCUCACCAAGGCGACGAUGCUUAGGGGGACUGAGAGGUUUUCCCCCCACACUGGUACUGGGACACGGACCAGACUCCUACGGGAGGCAGCAGUGAGGAAUAUUGGUCAAUGGGCGCAAGCCUGAACCAGCCAUGCCGCGUGCAGGAUGACGGCUCUAUGAGUUGUAACUGCUUUUGUACGAGGGUAAAGUGGGUUACGUGUAACCUUUUGGAAGUAUCGUACGAAUGAGGAUCGGCUAACUCCGUGCCAGCAGCCGCGGUAA